GGGGUGCUAGCUCAAUGGGUAGAGCAGCGGACUUUUAAUCCGUAGGUUCAGGGUUCGAGCCCCUGGCGCCCCACCG
Molecule: transfer RNA, 76 nt
Filed under: Kitasatospora purpeofusca
Lineage: Bacteria; Bacillati; Actinomycetota; Actinomycetes; Kitasatosporales; Streptomycetaceae
Also listed under: 2 other names
Description: tRNA-Lys-TTT
Rfam family: tRNA
About the family: Transfer RNA (tRNA) molecules are approximately 80 nucleotides in length. Their secondary structure includes four short double-helical elements and three loops (D, anti-codon, and T loops).
Source: RNAcentral